RNAcentral lists this ribosomal RNA (250 nucleotides) under uncultured bacterium. Its description in RNAcentral is "partial 16S ribosomal RNA". It matches the Rfam family "Bacterial small subunit ribosomal RNA", at positions 525 to 775 of the family's 1533-position model. The record is from RNAcentral.
ACGUAGGUGGCAAGCGUUGUCCGGAAUUAUUGGGCGUAAAGGGCGCGCAGGCGGCGUCGUAAGUCGGUCUUAAAAGCGCGGGGCUUAACCCCGUGAGGGGACCGAAACUGCGAUGCUAGAGUAUCGGAGAGGAAAGCGGAAUUCCUAGUGUAGCGGUGAAAUGCGUAGAUAUUAGGAGGAACACCAGUGGCGAAAGCGGCUUUCUGGACGACAACUGACGCUGAGGCGCGAAAGCCAGGGGAGCAAACGG